This 895-nucleotide unclassified non-coding RNA is filed under the name Apis florea (little honeybee). RNAcentral's name for it is "uncharacterized LOC105735116, transcript variant X3". Lineage: Eukaryota; Metazoa; Arthropoda; Insecta; Hymenoptera; Apidae. The record is from RNAcentral.
UGCGCAUUUAAAUGAAGAUAUCUUUAUCGAAAACAGGACCUGGCUAGGAACAGAAUGGACAGGUCGACAGGUAAAGAUGCAGGAUCCUGUCUCGCGCGCCAUCAUGCAUUCACAGAGUACACGUUACAAUUGCUUGAAAAGGCUUCUUGUGCUUGACUGACAUAACAAGACAGUCAUCGAUACUUCAUUGGUCUGAAAGAUUUGGGAUAAUCGACGCCUUGUUCACGAGAUCGCUUUACCGACAACGUGAUCGAUGGAUUCUGAGAAUGAGAGAAGCAAUGAAAUUAAUCACGUAUAUUCACUCGCAUCGUGUUCUCAAUUAAUUUGCAACAAUUGACAUAUAACCGCUCUGGGCGCGAUGCAUCUUCCUCAAUUAAAAUCGAAUCGUGUGACAAUUGUUUGAAUUAAUGAUUGAAAUAACCGUUUUAUCUUUCUUCUGUGUUUCAGAAUCUAUAUUCCAUAGACGAAAUUAAUUUUUUUUUUUUUUUGUUUCAACGUUCGAUCAUUGGCUCAAGUUUGCACGUAUUACCGUAACCACCGUCUCGUUGUCUUCCUACGCGGGAAAGGAACCAACUUUUCAUUCGUCGUGUCUCGCAGCUGUUCACCGAUCGCAAUAACGUGGGCGAAGGCGACCUCACACUCAACGAAAACUUUAUAUUUUCGAAAGGUGAGCAAAAAUCACGGAUUUCUAGCCUUCGAGCCACCCACGAGACGGCGAAACCCACGUUUUUCCAGGCACCUGCGCGGCCAUACGCUAUUGGUUAAUACCAGUUGAUCGAUCGGUCGAUAUCGCCUCUGACGUAACAGUACGUGUUUGAAUCCCGUCUUUUCAUUAGCCUGUCCCUUGAUAACUAAUCUCUCGUUCAUAAAUACUAUAUGAAUUAUCGUCAGAAUU